CGAUAUUGUGAAAGGUGUAUCGAUCGAUAUUCCUAUAGAAUAAUUAAUCGACACUUUCUACAGAUCAACAUGCGAGAGCUGAGAUCUUAGAUCUAGUGAUAGAUAAUCUAGCCAUGCGAGAGCUGGUAGAUUAUUGUUAUUGUUUGAGUUCUAUAAUAUCUUGCAAACAAAAAUUAGCCUCUAUAUCAUUAUAACCUUGAUUACCUGAAUAGAAA
This 215-nucleotide long non-coding RNA is filed under the name Brassica napus (rape). RNAcentral's name for it is "long non-coding RNA (BNAP_LNC026177)". The record is from RNAcentral. Lineage: Eukaryota; Viridiplantae; Streptophyta; Magnoliopsida; Brassicales; Brassicaceae.